CGUACAGGUCUCCGUAGGUGAACCUGCGGAGGGAUCAUUACACAAAUAUGAAGGCGGGCUGGAACCUCUCGGGGUUACAGCCUUGCUGAAUUAUUCACCCCUGUCUUUUGCGUACUUCUUGUUUCCUUGGUGGGUUCGCCCACCACUAGGACAAACAUAAACCUUUUGUAAUUGCAAUCAGCGUCAGUAACAAAUUAAUAAUUACAACUUUCAACAACGGAUCUCUUGGUUCUGGCAUCGAUGAAGAACGCAGCGAAAUGCGAUAAGUAGUGUGAAUUGCAGAAUUCAGUGAAUCAUCGAAUCUUUGAACGCACAUUGCGCCCUUUGGUAUUCCAAAGGGCAUGCCUGUUCGAGCGUCAUUUGUACCCUCAAGCUUUGCUUGGUGUUGGGCGUCUUGUCUCUAGCUUUGCUGGAGACUCGCCUUAAAGUAAUUGGCAGCCGGCCUACUGGUUUCGGAGCGCAGCACAAGUCGCACUCUCUAUCAGCAAAGGUCUAGCAUCCAUUAAGCCUUUUUUUCAACUUUUGACCUCGGAUCAGGUAGGGAUACCCGCUGAACUUAAGCAUAUC
This 567-nucleotide ribosomal RNA is filed under the name uncultured fungus. RNAcentral's name for it is "eukaryotic LSU rRNA". The stretch from base 206 to 359 matches the Rfam family "5.8S ribosomal RNA". The record is from RNAcentral. Lineage: Eukaryota; Fungi.